RNAcentral lists this transfer RNA (84 nucleotides) under Blattella germanica (German cockroach). RNAcentral describes it as "tRNA-Leu (TAA) (tRNA-Leu-TAA-32-1)". It matches the Rfam family "tRNA". From Rfam's summary of the family: Transfer RNA (tRNA) molecules are approximately 80 nucleotides in length. Their secondary structure includes four short double-helical elements and three loops (D, anti-codon, and T loops). Lineage: Eukaryota; Metazoa; Arthropoda; Insecta; Blattodea; Blattellidae. The record is from RNAcentral.
GUCAGGUUGGCCGAGCGGUCUAAGGUGCCAGACUUAAGUUCUGGUUCUCGAAAGUGAGCGUGGGUUCAAACCCGACACUUGACA